RNAcentral lists this ribosomal RNA (253 nucleotides) under uncultured bacterium. RNAcentral describes it as "partial 16S ribosomal RNA". It matches the Rfam family "Bacterial small subunit ribosomal RNA", at positions 524 to 776 of the family's 1533-position model. The record is from RNAcentral.
UACGGAGGGUGCAAGCGUUGUCCGGAUUUAUUGGGUUUAAAGGGUGCGUAGGUGGUACAGUAAGUCUGGUUUGAAAGCAAGUGGCUCAACCAUUUGAUGUGGCUGGAAACUGUUGUACUUGAAUGGAUUGGCGGUAGCCGGAACGGGUCAUGUAGCGGUGAAAUGCAUAGAUAUGACCCAGAACACCGAUUGCGAAGGCAGGCUACUACGAUUUGAUUGACACUGAGGCACGAAAGCAUGGGUAGCGAACAGG